Molecule: transfer RNA, 65 nt
Filed under: Acanthochitona mahensis
Lineage: Eukaryota; Metazoa; Mollusca; Polyplacophora; Chitonida; Acanthochitonidae
Description: tRNA-Lys
Source: RNAcentral
UUUUAAGUAACCUAGGUUAGGUGCUAAACUUUUAAUUUAGUUACGAUAUGAAAUAUCCUUAGAGC